Molecule: transfer RNA, 75 nt
Filed under: Pleurocapsa sp. SU_196_0
Lineage: Bacteria; Bacillati; Cyanobacteriota; Cyanophyceae; Pleurocapsales; Pleurocapsaceae
Description: tRNA-Ala
Rfam family: tRNA
About the family: Transfer RNA (tRNA) molecules are approximately 80 nucleotides in length. Their secondary structure includes four short double-helical elements and three loops (D, anti-codon, and T loops).
Source: RNAcentral
GGGGGUGUAGCUCAGAGGGAGAGCGUUCGCUUUGCAAGCGAAGGGUCGUGGGUUCGAAUCCCUCCACCUCCACCA